Long non-coding RNA from Oreochromis aureus, 521 nucleotides. RefSeq lists it as uncharacterized. The transcript is spliced from 5 exons. Lineage: Eukaryota; Metazoa; Chordata; Actinopteri; Cichliformes; Cichlidae. The record is from RefSeq and is a predicted model, not a curated record.
AUGACACCGUUAGCCAGCAGUGUGUCUCCUGAAAAGAGAGCUGAUUAGAGAGGCAGUUUUGAAUUUAGGAGUGGCAAGAUGGCAGCGGCAAACCCUGGCGGUUCUCCGGGUUCGUGGCAACCACGGAUGGGGAAAAUGUGGAGGUUGCACGGCUGAUGUUUACUGUUCAUGGCACAGGAAGAGGCAGUUUUAUUUCAGGAAUGAGUGAGCACAAUCAAAGAAUAGAGCGACUGUGGAGAGACCUCUGGGUGGCCAUUACAUGCAUUUACUACGAUGUUCUUCACAACCUUGAGGAAGAAGGCCUUCUUGACAUUUCAAAUGCUGCACACCUCUUUUGCUGCCAUUACGUCUUUCUUCCUCGACUGGAGGAUGAUUUUAAUACAUUUUGCAGUGGAUGGGACAACCAUCCACUGCGAACAGAAACAACAUGAGUCCCAACCAGCUGUGGGAGUUGGGUCACAGAUAUCACCCUGUUCCUGUUCCAGAAAACACACAGCUUAUCACACAUUUGAUUUCCAUGU